UAAAGCAGCCAUAUCACCCUGUAGCCCAAGACUGGUUGCCCACUGAAGUUAAGCAGGGCUGAGCCUGAUCAGUACCUGGAUGGGAGACCUCCAGAGAAAACUAGUUUGCUGUUGGAA
This 117-nucleotide ribosomal RNA is filed under the name Sinocyclocheilus rhinocerous. The record is from RNAcentral. Lineage: Eukaryota; Metazoa; Chordata; Actinopteri; Cypriniformes; Cyprinidae.